ACUGGGAUUAGAUACCCCACUAUGCUUAGCCCUAAACAUUGGUAGCACACCACAUCCGCUACUCGCCAGGGUACUACGAGCAUUAGCUUGAAACCCAAAGGACUUGGCGGUGCUUUAGAUCCCCCUAGAGGAGCCUGUCGUAGAACCGAUAAUCCCCGUUCAACCUCACCUUUCCUUGUUUUCAUCAGCCUAUAUACCGCCGUCGUCAGCUUACCCUGUGAAGGCCCUAUAGUAAGCAAAAUUAGCAUAGCUCAGUACGUCAGGUCGAGGUGUAGCGCAUGGAAAGGGAACAGAUGGGCUACAUUCUCUAAUUUUAGUGAAUACGAAUUAUGUAUUGAAACAUAUAUAUGAAGGAGGAUUUAGUAGUAAGCCAGAAGUAGAGUGUCUCGCUGAAAUCGGCCCUAAAGCGUGCACACACCGCCCGUCACCCU
Molecule: ribosomal RNA, 431 nt
Filed under: Paralabrax maculatofasciatus (spotted sand bass)
Lineage: Eukaryota; Metazoa; Chordata; Actinopteri; Perciformes; Serranidae
Description: partial 12S ribosomal RNA
Rfam family: Bacterial small subunit ribosomal RNA
Source: RNAcentral